UGCCAGCCGCCGCGGUAAUACGGAUGGUGCGAGCGUUAAUCGGAAUUACUGGGCGUAAAGCGCGCGUAGGCGGUUUGGUCAGUUAGAUGUGAAAGCCCAGGGCUCAACCUUGGAACUGCAUUUAAUACUGCCAGACUUGAGAUCGGAAGAGGAAAGCGGAAUUUCUAGUGUAGAGGUGAAAUUCGUAGAUAUUAGAAGGAACAUCAGAGGCGAAGGCGGCUUUCUGGUCCGAUACUGACGCUGAGGUACGAAAGCGUGGGGAGCAAACAGGAUUAGAUA
This 279-nucleotide ribosomal RNA is filed under the name uncultured bacterium. RNAcentral describes it as "partial 16S ribosomal RNA". It matches the Rfam family "Bacterial small subunit ribosomal RNA", at positions 506 to 784 of the family's 1533-position model. The record is from RNAcentral.